This 253-nucleotide ribosomal RNA is filed under the name uncultured bacterium. RNAcentral describes it as "partial 16S ribosomal RNA". It matches the Rfam family "Bacterial small subunit ribosomal RNA", at positions 524 to 776 of the family's 1533-position model. The record is from RNAcentral.
UACAGAGGUCCCGAGCGUUGUUCGGAUUCACUGGGCGUAAAGGGUGCGUAGGUGGUGAGGUAAGUCGGAUGUGAAAUCUCCGGGCUCAACCCGGAAAUGGCAUUGGAAACUACCUUGCUGGAGGGUUUGAGGGGGGAUUGGAAUACUUGGUGUAGCAGUGAAAUGCGUAGAUAUCAAGUGGAACACCAGUGGCGAAGGCGAAUCCCUGGAAAAUACCUGACACUGAGGCACGAAAGCUAGGGGAGCAAACAGG